This 578-nucleotide small RNA is filed under the name Pongo abelii (Sumatran orangutan). Its description in RNAcentral is "processed transcript". The record is from RNAcentral. Lineage: Eukaryota; Metazoa; Chordata; Mammalia; Primates; Hominidae.
CUCUGCUCUGCCACAGAUCCUGAUGGCUGACUCAGAAGCACUCCCCUCCCUUGCUGGGGACCCAGUGGCUGUGGAAGCCUUGCUCCGGGCCGUGUUUGGGGUUGUUGUGGAUGAGGCCAUUCAGAAAGGAACCAGUGUCUCCCAGAAGGUCUGUGAGUGGAAGGAGCCUGAGGAGCUGAAGCAGCUGCUGGAUUUGGAGCUGCGGAGCCAGGGCGAGUCGCAGGAGCAGAUCCUGGAGCGGUGUCGGGCUGUGAUUCGCUACAGUGUCAAGACUGGUCACCCUCGGUUCUUCAACCAGCUCUUCUCCGGGUUGGACCCCCAUGCUCUGGCCGGGCGCAUUAUCACUGAGAGCCUCAACACCAGCCAGUACACAUAUGAAAUUGCCCCCGUGUUUGUGCUCAUGGAAGAGGAGGUGCUGAGGAAACUGCGGGCCCUGGUGGGCUGGAGCUCUGGGGACGGAAUCUUCUGCCCUGGUUUCUGGACCCAGGCCAGGCCAGGGAGGCGGCUGCCUGGUCCCUUCAUGCUCUUGUUUGUCACCAUUCCCUGGGGUCAGUGGUCGAGUUCCUGCUGUCUCCGGA